AGGCCUAGAGAGAAGAGACAGAAAGUAAAAAGAAAAAAGGGAAGAGAUGAAGGAGGCACUUCUGUGUACAUCAA
RNAcentral lists this non-coding RNA (74 nucleotides) under Chromera velia. The record is from RNAcentral. Lineage: Eukaryota; Chromeraceae.